Molecule: long non-coding RNA, 325 nt
Filed under: Rhinopithecus bieti (black snub-nosed monkey)
Lineage: Eukaryota; Metazoa; Chordata; Mammalia; Primates; Cercopithecidae
Description: lncRNA (ENSRBIG00000046787.1)
Source: RNAcentral
CCUGGCUGAAGCUGGUACCAUGAUGGAUUUGCAGCUGCUGUUAGAGAUGCCACUCAAGGCAGAGGUUCCAGAGGAGGAGUCAAAGCGGCUGUAAUCUUGAUUCAGUUUUAUGGGCAAUAGAAUUAUUUUACUGAUUCCUGGAAUCAUGGCUCCUAUACAUCUGCUCUCUAUGAGCACUUUGGAAAUUAAAGGAUUGCCAGCUUUUCCACUUUGGGACAAAAAACAUUUGUGCUAAACAGCCGAUCAUGUCAUCUAUGAACAAAAAGUUUUAUGUCUAUAUUCCUAAUCUGUACACCUUUUUAAAGAAGUUUUCCUGAGAAAAGCA